This 435-nucleotide ribosomal RNA is filed under the name uncultured bacterium. RNAcentral's name for it is "partial 16S ribosomal RNA". It matches the Rfam family "Bacterial small subunit ribosomal RNA", at positions 29 to 507 of the family's 1533-position model. The record is from RNAcentral.
AACGAACGCUGGCGGCAGGCUUAACACAUGCAAGUCGAACGCGUGCAGCAAUGCACGAGUGGCGCACGGGUGAGUAACGCGUGGAUAUCUGCCUUUUGGUUCGGAAUAACCCCGGGAAACUGGGGCUAAUACCGGAUGGUUCCUACGGGAUAAAGAUUUAUCGCCAAAGGAUGAGUCCGCGUCCGAUUAGCUAGUUGGUGAGGUAAUGGCUCACCAAGGCGACGAUCGGUAGCUGGUCUGAGAGGACGAUCAGCCACACUGGGACUGAGACACGGCCCAGACUCCUACGGGAGGCAGCAGUGGGGAAUAUUGGACAAUGGGGGCAACCCUGAUCCAGCCAUGCCGCGUGAGUGAUGAAGGCCUUCGGGUUGUAAAGCUCUUUUGGCGGGGACGAUGAUGACGGUACCCGCAGAAUAAGCCCCGGCUAACUUCGUG